CUUUAUUGAAACUUCGGUCGAUUUAAUUUAAUUCUAGUGGCGGACGGGUGAGUAACGCGUGGGUAACCUGCCUUAUACAGGGGGAUAACAGUCAGAAAUGGCUGCUAAUACCGCAUAAGCGCACAGAGCUGCAUGGCUCAGUGUGAAAAACUCCGGUGGUAUAAGAUGGACCCGCGUUGGAUUAGCUAGUUGGUGGGGUAACGGCCCACCAAGGCGACGAUCCAUAGCCGGCCUGAGAGGGUGAACGGCCACAUUGGGACUGAGACACGGCCCAGACUCCUACGGGAGGCAGCAGUGGGGAAUAUUGCACAAUGGGGGAAACCCUGAUGCAGCGACGCCGCGUGAAGGAAGAAGUAUCUCGGUAUGUAAACUUCUAUCAGCAGGGAAGAUAGUGACGGUACCUGACUAAGAAGCCCCGGCUAACUACGUGCCAGCAGCCGCGGUAAUACGUAGGGGGCAAGCGUUAUCCGGAUUUACUGGGUGUAAAGGGAGCGUAGACGGUGUGGCAAGUCUGAUGUGAAAGGCAUGGGCUCAACCUGUGGACUGCAUUGGAAACUGUCAUACUUGAGUGCCGGAGGGGUAAGCGGAAUUCCUAGUGUAGCGGUGAAAUGCGUAGAUAUUAGGAGGAACACCAGUGGCGAAGCGGCUUACUGGACUGUAACUGACGUUGAGGCUCGAAAGCGUGGGGAGCAAACAGG
Molecule: ribosomal RNA, 698 nt
Filed under: uncultured Lachnospiraceae bacterium
Lineage: Bacteria; Bacillati; Bacillota; Clostridia; Lachnospirales; Lachnospiraceae
Description: bacterial SSU rRNA
Rfam family: Bacterial small subunit ribosomal RNA
Source: RNAcentral